GUGCCAGCCGCUGCGGUGAUACGUAGGGUGCGAGCGUUGUCCGGAAUUAUUGGGCGUAAAGAGCUUGUAGGCGGCUUGUCACGUCGGAAGUGAAAACUCAGGGCUUAACCCUGAGCCUGCUUCCGAUACGGGCUCGCUAGAGGAAGGUAGGGGAGAACGGAAUUCCUGGUGGAGCGGUGGAAUGCGCAGAUAUCAGGAGGAACACCGGUGGCGAAGGCGGUUCUCUGGACCUUUCCUGACGCUGAGAAGCGAAAGCGUGGGAGCAAACAGGCUUAGAUACCC
Molecule: ribosomal RNA, 282 nt
Filed under: uncultured Propioniferax sp.
Lineage: Bacteria; Bacillati; Actinomycetota; Actinomycetes; Propionibacteriales; Propionibacteriaceae
Description: partial 16S ribosomal RNA
Rfam family: Bacterial small subunit ribosomal RNA
Source: RNAcentral